RNAcentral lists this ribosomal RNA (232 nucleotides) under uncultured bacterium. Its description in RNAcentral is "partial 16S ribosomal RNA". It matches the Rfam family "Bacterial small subunit ribosomal RNA", at positions 524 to 752 of the family's 1533-position model. The record is from RNAcentral.
UACGAAGGGGGCUAGCGUUGUUCGGAAUUACUGGGCGUAAAGCGCACGUAGGCGGAUAUUUAAGUCAGGGGGUGAAAUCCCCAGAGCUCAACUCUGGAACUGCCCUUUGAUACUGGGUAUCUCGAGUAUGGAAGAGGUGAGUGGAAUUCCGAGUGUAGAGGUGAAAUUCGUAGAUAUUCGGAAGAACACCAGUGGCGAAGGCGACUCGCUGGACAAGUAUUGACGCUGAGGU